UGGGGAAUCUUAGACAAUGGGGGCAACCCUGAUCUAGCCAUGCCGCGUGAGUGAUGAAGGCCUUAGGGUUGUAAAGCUCUUUCAGCUGGGAAGAUAAUGACGGUACCAGCAGAAGAAGCCCCGGCUAACUCCGUGCCAGCAGCCGCGGUAAUACGGAGGGGGCUAGCGUUGUUCGGAAUUACUGGGCGUAAAGCGCACGUAGGCGGAUCGGAAAGUUGGGGGUGAAAUCCCGGGGCUCAACCUCGGAACUGCCUUCAAAACUACUGGUCUUGAGUUCGAGAGAGGUGAGUGGAAUUCCGAGUGUAGAGGUGAAAUUCGUAGAUAUUCGGAGGAACACCAGUGGCGAAGGCGGCUCACUGGCUCGAUACUGACGCUGAGGUGCGAAAGCGUGGGGAGCAAACAGG
Molecule: ribosomal RNA, 404 nt
Filed under: Bacillota bacterium
Lineage: Bacteria; Bacillati; Bacillota
Also listed under: 1 other name
Description: Firmicutes bacterium partial 16S ribosomal RNA
Rfam family: Bacterial small subunit ribosomal RNA
Source: RNAcentral